This is a non-coding RNA of Pantherophis guttatus, 1492 nucleotides long. NCBI's taxonomy places the organism in Eukaryota, Metazoa, Chordata, Lepidosauria, Squamata, Colubridae. The record is from RefSeq and is a predicted model, not a curated record.
GCGGACCGCGCUGGGUACAACGCCUCGUGUUGGAAAGAGUUCUCCUGUCGCCUCUGGCCGCUGAAAUAUUCCGGAGUAUGACUGGGAAGGCUGGAAACAACGAGAAUGAUAAUACUAUAUUUCUGGAGGGCACAGAAGAGUGUGAGAAAGGACAUAUGUAUAACAUCUCCCAAUCUGUAUGCAGAGCGGUGCCUGAAGGUGAUAUCCUACACAUUGAUUGGCCAUCACUAGAACAAAGUUGCAUUCAAGACAAUUGCUUCAAAGAAGGCCUUACACAGACGGAACAGUUCGUUAGAAGAAAAAUCACCUACGUCCAUACAGAACACCCUGGAGAAAAGGAUCUAAAUCGAACUGGCUGCUGUACAGAACUUCUUAAAAUGAGUGGAUUCGCUCGCUGACAAUGUACAGUUGAAGCCAAAGAUAUAAUUGAAAGCUACUGGAAAGAAGAAUUUUAAACAUCAAAAUAAUGUUACAGAAAGUGUGAAUUCUCUAGUGACGGUAAAAAUGAAGUGGUCCAUUGGCAAACAUGUAAAAAUAUACAUCAACAAAAAACAGAAUGAAAUAAAAUAAGCAAGAAAAAAAAACAGCACCAGUAAUCAGACGGUAGAGGCACAAACCUACGAAGAGGAAGACAGGAAUCUUAUAGAAUUAUAUACAACAAUCUUCUUCUGCUAAGUUUUGUGUUCCCUUCAUACAUUUGGAGUUCACGGUUUUCUAAGGAAAAGUGCUAACCACGUCCACAUUUUUACUUCAUAAACCAUUUCUUUUAAAUUACAAGAGGAUCAAAAAGAGAGAAGUUUUAAACAAGAAAAUUUACAAAUACUUGGACUAUAUGUAUACCCACAUAAAAACAAAACAGUUACCUAGAUUUGAUUCUAAAGAGACAUUUAAUAGGUAGAUUUCUUUUUGUUGUUGUACAAAAACAAAAUAAAAGAGAGUAAUGUUAAUAUAGGUAGUUUCCCAAGUGUCAAGAAGCAGAAGAAAGAAACAGUUUACUUAGAUGUUUGUUUCUUGUUUCAAUGUAUAGUCUAUUAUGUUAAUUUUUACAUUUUCCUCUAAAUUUGUGUAACAGUGCGGUCAGAUUACUUUCUUUCUUUCUUUCCCUCUUUCUUUUCUUUUCUUUUCUUUCCUUUUUCCUUUCCCUCUCUUUCUAUUCAGUUCCAUUCUCUCCCUUCCAUUUCCACUUUCAUCCCUUCUUUUUCUUUCACUCUUCUUCAUCUUCUUCAGCCUCUGGUUUUUCCUGGCUAUUUGAGCCUGGUCCUGCAGGUUUGUUUUCUUUUUUCCACUUCAUCCGUCUGUUCUGGAACCAGAUUUUGAUCUGUCUUUCUGUAAGACAUAAAGCAUGGGCUAUCUCAAUGCGUCGUCUUCUGGUCAAGUAACGGUUGUAAUGGAAUUCCUUCUCCAGUUCCAGGGUCUGGUAUCUGGUAUAGGUCUGGCGGCCUCUCUUUCUGUCAGUUCCUGAAAAAUAAUAAAAUAGAAUUUUACAAGCUUA